UGGUGGGCAGCAGACGGCUGGGGUGGCCUAUUCGCCUGGGUCUCGUCCAGGCCGGCUCCGGGCCCGUGGGGUCUCCAGGGCCUCUGGUGCUCCUGAAGUAAGGCUGGCCCUGAGUGACCAAGGGCACUAGCGACACCCGGCUCUAGCUCCAGAGGCAGCACAGUGGGAGGCCAGUCUAUGCACGGUGAGCUGGCUCCAGGGAGGGACACUGGGCACCCAGCCCCCACCACCUUCCCCUGUGGCCUGGCAGCCGAGAGUAGAGCUGAAAUUUAACUCAGCUCUGAAAGUAAAGUUCAGACGGUUUCACUUAGCUCGGAGAAAGGUGGAAUUGCAUUCCUAAAGCACACUGAUUUUACAGGGUUCGUGGGACAGACCUUGAAAGGCCCGGCGCCGGCUGACCCUCGGACCUCACGGCCAACAGCGGCCAGCACCCCAGGGCUACGGAGCAGAGGGGCGGGCAGACAGACCCAUCUGCAACCUGGCUGGUGCUGCAGGAUGGGCAGUGCCCUCCCGUCCUAGAAGGGCCACCGACUCGAGGCCACCGGACCACCGCCUGCCGAUGGGCGUCUUACCAGACACGGUUCACCAGGGUCUUCCUUUCAUCAUACCGGGGUGCCGUUUCCUGCCGGUCUUUUUACCUGACCAGGUGACCAGCUGGUUUGUUUGCAAAGUGACUGUCCUCUCUGGAGAAUGAGCCGCUGUCACCUGGUUUGUCCUUUCUCUGCCCUGCCAACUCCACCGUGUGCUUCCUCUCCACUGCUUAUCUUCUUUUAACCCUUCAGAAAGUCCUCACCUCCCAAGCAGCCCCCAAAUCGGGAAGGACCCAUCAAAGAAUGGCUAAAACUCUCUGAAAU
Molecule: long non-coding RNA, 854 nt
Filed under: Ursus americanus (American black bear)
Lineage: Eukaryota; Metazoa; Chordata; Mammalia; Carnivora; Ursidae
Description: lncRNA (ENSUAMG00000017874.1)
Source: RNAcentral